GACGAACGCUGGCGGCGUGCUUAACACAUGCAAGUCGAACGGAAAGGCCCUGCUUUUGUGGGGUGCUCGAGUGGCGAACGGGUGAGUAACACGUGAGUAACCUGCCCUUUACUUUGGGAUAACUUCAGGAAACUGGGGCUAAUACCGGAUAGGAGCUCCUGCUGCAUGGUGGGGGUUGGAAAGUUUCGGCGGUUGGGGAUGGACUCGCGGCUUAUCAGCUUGUUGGUGGGGUAGUGGCUUACCAAGGCUUUGACGGGUAGCCGGCCUGAGGGGGUGACCGGCCACAUUGGGACUGAGAUACGGCCCAGACUCCUACGGGAGGCAGCAGUGGGGAAUAUUGCACAAUGGGCGGAAGCCUGAUGCAGCAACGCCGCGUGCGGGAUGACGGCCUUCGGGUUGUAAACCGCUUUCGCCUGUGACGAAGCGUGAGUGACGGUAAUGGGUAAAGAAGCACCGGCUAACUACGUG
RNAcentral lists this ribosomal RNA (468 nucleotides) under uncultured bacterium. RNAcentral describes it as "partial 16S ribosomal RNA". It matches the Rfam family "Bacterial small subunit ribosomal RNA", at positions 28 to 507 of the family's 1533-position model. The record is from RNAcentral.